AACAAUCCCUCCCUCUCCAUCUGAUAGGCAGUUGGAAGAGACUUUUAGAUGUCGUCCAGUCCACCUCCCCUGCAGUGAACAGGAUCAUCUACAGCUGGAUCAGGUUGACCCGGGCCUGAUCUUAGAGAUCUUCUAUGUUACAGACUCUGUGAUUGGUACAACUCUAAGACUCACGCUCCCCUCUGUGUCUCUCCAGAGGUAGUUCUUUAACACUACAUUUCCCCACCCCACCAAUCUGUCCUCUCUCCAGCAAGUAAGUGGAGCUACAUAGACGUAAAGGGUGGAUGGUAAAGCCAGAUGAGCUCCACCCUGUCAACCGUUUGCUGAACUGCAUCACCAUCCCAAAGUCCCCUCCUGUCCCAUUCUGCACAAGAGGGACAAAGAUCCAGACAGCCCUUGGCCUCUGUUUCCCCUCCUCCAGCUCUGUGUGAUGACAUCCUUGUGGUGCAGGGUGACACUCAAAGGCCACAAGUGCCUUCCCUUCAGGCAUGACCUCCUCCAGUCUGUUUUCUUUCUGUUUCAUCUGCUUUGCUCUGCCCCAGGCAGCCUUGCCCAAGACCUCAAGUCUGCCAGCUCACCCUACCCUCCUUCCUUCCACUACUGAGCUGUUCAGGCUAAGCCAAGCACUUCUGACAGAAGUGCUGUCACAGCUGAUAAACCGGAAGUACAGAGGAUGUGGAAGCCAAGUGAUGGGUGAAGUAGAUGACCACCUAGAGAUCUGCCUGGAUCAAUUAAAAUUCCAGGCACUCCUAGUGCAUCAGUUGUCCAAGGCUCUGGACAGUUGUUGGCCCUUCAGUCCCUCUGCACAAAUGUUGCCAGGACAAUGACAGAAAUGGAAACAGAGGGAGUAGGGGAAGAGCUCAGUGCAGCUCUUGGGACUUGAGGAAGGUGGGUGCUCACUUUGUGCUACGUUAUAGCUUCAUCCAGGGGCAUGGAGUGGGUAGGAAAGCUGACUUAGUUUGCAACACCUCUACAUUCAAAACACAAGCACUUGGCCCUGAAGUGCAGCAGCAGCAGCACUCAGUCACCAACUACAUGGCAUACCUCUGGCCAGAGGUAAUGCGCUGCGCUCCACUGCUCUUUACAGAGUGGUUUUCAGGUCACUAUCACCCGAAUCCAUCCCUGGUGUUCCCUCAGGGAUUCAGGGCCAGGAUCACUCCUGUGAGGAAAGCAUAAGAGCACUGAGUUGUAGAGAGAUUCCCGACUCCCUUCCCUGAGGGUCUUCAAAAGCCAGCAGCACACAGGCCUGGGAAACCUGCUCUGAUGGUCCUGCGGGAGAGUUCAGAACCAGAUCAUACAACCUUACAGCCAUUCAGUUGGGAAAAGACCAGGUACAAUUGUUAACCUACACAAACAUAGAAUCACAGAACCAUACCCUCACAGAACUGGAGAAUUAACGGAGUCAUUCAGAUUUGUAAACAGCUGUAAGACUCAUUCCAGCAUCACGUAACACAAGUCCACCACUAAACUGUCCCCACACACCUCAUCUACAUACCUCUUACACCCCUCCAGGCAUGACAACUUCAUUAAGCAAAACUCCCCCCACCACUGACCCCUAACCAUGUCUGCUUCUGUGCUGCUCGGUCAGCAGGAUGAGGCAGAAGUUUAGCUAGCAAUUCCUGGGCACAAAGGACACAAGGGAGAUGGAUAGGUGAGUACCUGGGGCCUGGGAGUGCUGCCCCAUGCCCUGCAGUGAACAAGUAACCCCUAGAAGGCAGGGUGAUCCCCCAUACCUGCAUGCAGCCUGCUAGCCCACUUCCCUCCUGCAUUCUGCAGUACUCCUUCCCCUUGGGCCAGUUUCUUCCCCUGUGCUGAGAUGGAGUUCAAGUUGUGGGUGACAGUGGCCACCAUCACUGAGUACAAGCACUCCUCCUGGGACUGCCACUUAACCAUCAGGGAUCCCCUCUAGGCAGACGGAGGCCAGACCACCUUCCAGCAUCCAUGCUGGGCUGAGGGCUGUUGAAACCACUCACCUCCUGCGUUUCCAGUGUCUCAUAGGUACCAUGAGUGGGUAGCUGACACAUCCCCAGUUAAAGUCCCUCUGACAAGCUCUGAUCAUUCACAGAGCAUGUCUAGCACUUCUGCGAUGCUUAUUCAGCCUUAGGUCAAUGAAAACCUGCUCCUGGAGAUGCCUAAUGCUGUAAGGCCAUUCUUUGCUGUGCAGAAGGACCCCAGCUUCUCCCCCCUUGGGCAUCAUUUUCCUUUCUGCCUCAUUCCUCUUCAUCCUUGUGCACUCCCUCCUCCUCUCCCACACCAUCAGGGCUGCAGGUACCACCCUUCGCCUUGACCUCAUUCCCAACAACCACAGACCAAAAAAGGUGAGCGUGACUGAUUCCCCGUGUCGUGGUUCCCACAAUGGUCACAUUCGUGCAGUCAAGGGACAAACGCUUCCUUAAAGAGCUUGGGUUUAAGUAGUGCAAGCAGUGCCAUUGGCAAAGAGGCUCCCAUGGGUAACCUUCGGACCCUCCUCCCCCAAUCUUCCUGUAGCUCUUCUUGCUUUGUCUCCCAUCAGAAUUACUCCUCAUGAGAUGGUUUUGCAGGCAGCGGACAUCUCAGGUCCUGCCAGCAGGAUACAUACCACUACACCAAUGAUCCCCUAUUGCCAUCUCACCGGAAGCAUUAGGAAAGGCAGUAGACUCAUUGAUUACUACCUACAAGAGAAGGGUGAGCUAUAAAGCCCCAGAAGGAACAAGCACCAGGCUUGUCACAGUGAAAGCCCUGCCUGUAGCUUGCUCAGGAAAGCCCAAAUACUACACAGUGCAAUACAGACGGUUCAGGUGUUCUGCAUCCCUACUGCACCAAGGCAGGUGCAAGAACUUCCGGGUCCACGCAAUACUGGCAUUACUCUUACACCUGCAUACCACAGCUGCUGUGGCCUUUCACCAACUCACAAAGGCCAAAAACAUGGCUGGAGGAAUGAAACAACGUCUUCCAGCAAGACAGAACUACCUUCUCAACAGGCCCAGGUGCUGGGUACACUCAAACCCACCCUUCCAGCUGAACUAGAAACACACGUAACUGAGAAUGGGUUUGGCUAGGGCCUGUGGCUGAGGCAGAACUCCAUUUAAACCCAGUUGUGUUCUGGUCUCAGUUCUGACAUGGAGCAGAAGAGAAGCGUAGCAUGAAAAAGUUACCUGGC
This is a long non-coding RNA of Gallus gallus (chicken), 3139 nucleotides long. NCBI's taxonomy places the organism in Eukaryota, Metazoa, Chordata, Aves, Galliformes, Phasianidae. The record is from Ensembl.